RNAcentral lists this ribosomal RNA (424 nucleotides) under uncultured Alistipes sp. RNAcentral's name for it is "bacterial SSU rRNA". It matches the Rfam family "Bacterial small subunit ribosomal RNA", at positions 355 to 776 of the family's 1533-position model. The record is from RNAcentral. Lineage: Bacteria; Pseudomonadati; Bacteroidota; Bacteroidia; Bacteroidales; Rikenellaceae.
UGAGGAAUAUUGGUCAAUGGACGCAAGUCUGAACCAGCCAUGCCGCGUGCAGGAAGACGGCUCUAUGAGUUGUAAACUGCUUUUGUAUUAGGGUAAACUCAGGUACGUGUACCUGACUGAAAGUAUAAUACGAAUAAGGAUCGGCUAACUCCGUGCCAGCAGCCGCGGUAAUACGGAGGAUCCAAGCGUUAUCCGGAUUUAUUGGGUUUAAAGGGUGCGUAGGCGGUUUGAUAAGUUAGAGGUGAAAUACCGGGGCUUAACUCCGGAACUGCCUCUAAUACUGUUGAACUAGAGAGUAGUUGCGGUAGGCGGAAUGUAUGGUGUAGCGGUGAAAUGCUUAGAGAUCAUACAGAACACCGAUUGCGAAGGCAGCUUACCAAACUAUAUCUGACGUUGAGGCACGAAAGCGUGGGUAUCGAACAGG